AUUGAACGCUGGCGGCAUGCCUUACACAUGCAAGUCGAACGGUAACAGGUCUUCGGAUGCUGACGAGUGGCGAACGGGUGAGUAAUACAUCGGAACGUGCCCAGUCGUGGGGGAUAACGAAGCGAAAGCUUUGCUAAUACCGCAUACGAUCUACGGAUGAAAGCGGGGGAUCGCAAGCCCUCGCGCGAUUGGAGCGGCCGAUGGCAGAUUAGGUAGGUGGUAGGGUAAAGGCUUACCAAGCCUACGAUCUGUAGCUGGUCUGAGAGGACGACCAGCAGCACUGGGACUGGGACACGGCCCGGACGCCUACGGGAGGCAGCAGUGGGGAAUUAUGGACAAUGGGCGCAAGCCUGAUCCAGCAAUGCCGCGUGCAGGAUGAAGGCCUUCGGGUUGUAAACUGCUUUUGUACGGAACGAAAAGCUCUGGGUUAAUACCCUGGGGUCAUGACGGUACCGUAAGAAUAAGCACCGGCUAACUACGUGCCAGCCGCCGCAGUAA
RNAcentral lists this ribosomal RNA (498 nucleotides) under uncultured bacterium. RNAcentral's name for it is "partial 16S ribosomal RNA". It matches the Rfam family "Bacterial small subunit ribosomal RNA", at positions 30 to 523 of the family's 1533-position model. The record is from RNAcentral.